This 440-nucleotide ribosomal RNA is filed under the name uncultured bacterium. RNAcentral's name for it is "partial 16S ribosomal RNA". It matches the Rfam family "Bacterial small subunit ribosomal RNA", at positions 338 to 795 of the family's 1533-position model. The record is from RNAcentral.
CCUACGGGAGGCAGCAGUGGGGAAUAUUGCACAAUGGGGGAAACCCUGAUGCAGCGACGCCGCGUGAGUGAGGAAGUAUUUCGGUAUGUAAAGCUCUAUCAGCAGGGAAGAAAAUGACGGUACCUGACUAAGAAGCCCCGGCUAACUACGUGCCAGCAGCCGCGGUAAUACGUAGGGGGCAAGCGUUAUCCGGAUUUACUGGGUGUAAAGGGAGCGUAGACGGCGAAGCAAGUCAGAUGUGAAAGCCCAGGGCUCAACCCCGGGACUGCAUUUGAAACUGUGCUGCUAGAGUGCGGGAGAGGUAGGCGGAAUUCCUAGUGUAGCGGUGAAAUGCGUAGAUAUUAGGAGGAACACCAGUGGCGAAGGCGGCCUGCUGGACUAUAACUGACGUUGAGGCUCGAAAGCGUGGGGAGCAAACAGGAUUAGAUACCCGUGUAGUC